CGAUUUUAGAUUUAAAGGCAUAGAUAAAUAAAAUUUCCACGUUGAACGAUGAGGUUAGGAAAUCACGUUAGCAACUUGGAGGUUUCUCCUGUUGGAGUUGAUCUCAUAGGCUACAUGGUUUCCAUGAUUUUGGCACAAAGACUAUGGAAUACAAAUUUUGGCAUACUUUUACGAUUUUGAUUUCCAUGAUUUUGGCAAACUUUUACAAUAAGAAUCUUUGUAUGGUUCCCCAGAUUUUGUUCAAUUGAGUUUGGAUUUGCUUGAGUUCACGCUUGGUUUAACAAUAAGUUUACCGAGCAAAGAAAAAAGUUUUUUUUUGAUAACAUUCUUUGUUGAUCGGAUGUCUUUUUUUACAGUUGAAAAGUUAAGCUAGACCUUCGCAUAUGCCUUCAUUACCAUUCAAGUACACUUGCCGUAGGUUUCGGCGAAGGUGUUAUUUACCAUGGGAUAUAUAUCAAACUAAUUGCAGUACUAUGGGGAGUCUAGAGUGUUAUCAUGACGCGGUUUCACCAUAAAGUGUUUGAUCGUGGAAUUUUGUGGUAUAUAUAUAUGUGAAGUACAUGCCUAUCGACGGAUACUACAAAUGGAAAUUCCAAGCUCUUUGCCAGAAGAAGCAUCAAAAAGAUUGCAGGGAGCUUUGCGAGUUCGAUCUCCAGCUGCGAGGGGAACCCGUUCGAUUGAAGUCGCAUUCGAGGUUAGUGCCCAUGGUAUUUUGAAUGUAAGGGCUGAUACAAUGCAUAUGGAUAGUCGGAGGUGAUAGUUCAGGUCAUGCUGUGUUGCGAAUAUGGUCGUCCUGUAGAUGAAAAAAUCUUUAGUAAAAAGUUAUAGAUUGAGUGAAACAGAGAUGUGGUAUCUGAGUUCUCUGGAGAUCAUUUUUUUUACGAUGUCGGGAAAAAGUUCAUUAGCUACGGGUCAACUCCCAAGUAACAAACUGGAUUUGACGGUUGAGCUCGAUCAAAACAAAAAUUACACGGGUAUUUUCUUGCUGUAAAAUCAUUCCCUUUAACAUAAUUUUAAGAUAUGUGUCAUUACUGCAGCACUGAUAUUAUCUAUGGAAUGAUAGGCUGCAUUUAUGAUCUAUCUCAUAUCUUCUAAGUUCUGAUGCUAUUAGUGUGAAAUCAUGUUUAACCA
Long non-coding RNA from Papaver somniferum (opium poppy), 1131 nucleotides. RefSeq lists it as uncharacterized. The transcript has 4 exons. The record is from RefSeq and is a predicted model, not a curated record. NCBI's taxonomy places the organism in Eukaryota, Viridiplantae, Streptophyta, Magnoliopsida, Ranunculales, Papaveraceae.